Molecule: ribosomal RNA, 498 nt
Filed under: uncultured bacterium
Lineage: Bacteria
Description: partial 16S ribosomal RNA
Rfam family: Bacterial small subunit ribosomal RNA
Source: RNAcentral
AUUGAACGCUGGCGGCAUGCCUUACACAUGCAAGUCGAACGGUAACAGGUCUUCGGAUGCUGACGAGUGGCGAACGGGUGAGUAAUACAUCGGAACGUGCCUAGUAGUGGGGGAUAACUACUCGAAAGAGUGGCUAAUACCGCAUGAGAUCUACGGAUGAAAGCAGAGGAUCGCAAGACCUUGUGCUACUAGAGCGGCCGAUGGCAGAUUAGGUAGUUGGUGGGAUAAAAGCUUACCAAGCCGACGAUCUGUAGCUGGGCUGAGAGGACGAUCAGCCACACCGGGACUGAGACACGGCCCAGACUCCUACGGGAGGCAGCAGUGGGGAAUUUUGGACAAUGGGCGCAAGCCUGAUCCAGCAAUGCCGCGUGCAGGAUGAAGGCCUUCGGGUUGUAAACUGCUUUUGUACGGAACGAAAAGCCCUGGGUUAAUACCCUGGGGUCAUGACGGUACCGUAAGAAUAAGCACCGGCUAACUACGUGCCAGCCGCCGCAGUAA